Araneus ventricosus is the source of this 83-nucleotide non-coding RNA. Lineage: Eukaryota; Metazoa; Arthropoda; Arachnida; Araneae; Araneidae. The record is from the annotation of a GenBank genome assembly.
GCAGACGUGGCCGAGUGGUGAAGGCGAUGGACUCGCAAUCCAUUGGGGGUAUCAAAGCGUAGUUUCGAAUCCUUCCGCCUGCG